CACUAUGUUUACUUACUCCAUAAGUUUACUUAGCCCUUAAGUUUACUAUUUCCACCUCCUUAGUUAACCUCCUUACUAUUCACAAAUCUUAACCUGUAAGUUUCGUGGUUCCGUCUUUCAGGUUUCGUCCGACAGUUUUAAAAACUGCGAUUCUCGGAAUUCAAAUAUUUUUGGAUAUUUCGUCUUUCCUUUACCGAUUAACUUUUACGUAUUCUUCAGAUUUUCGAAAAACUGAAAAACACUUUUUGGGGUCAAGCGUUUUCCUUCACGUUUUCCCUUAACGUAGCUAAACGAAUGAAAAGUACAUAACAAUACUUUUCGUCAUUUUUAUUUAGUCC
Molecule: long non-coding RNA, 338 nt
Filed under: Panax ginseng (ginseng)
Lineage: Eukaryota; Viridiplantae; Streptophyta; Magnoliopsida; Apiales; Araliaceae
Description: long non-coding RNA (PGIN_LNC009169)
Source: RNAcentral